AGAGUUUGAUCCUGGCUCAGAACGAACGCUGGCGGCGCGUCUUAAGCAUGCAAGUCGAACGGCAAGGCAGGUGCUUGCACCUGCCCUAGAGUGGCGGACUGGUGAGCAACACGUGGGUGACAUGCCUUUUAGUUGGGGAUAGCUACUAGAAAUAGUAGAUAAUACCGAAUGUGAUCAAUAUUUAUAGAUGAUGUUGAGGAAAGGAGCUAAGGCUUCGCUAAAAGAUUGGCCCGCGGCCCAUUAGCUAGUUGGUAGGGUAAAGGCUUACCAAGGCGAUGAUGAGUAUCCGGCCUGAGAGGGUGAUCGGACACAUUGGGACUGAGAUACGGCCCAGACUCCUACGGGAGGCAGCAGCUAAGAAUAUUCCACAAUGGACGAAAGUCUGAUGGAGCGACGCCGCGUGGAUGAUGAAGGCCGAAAGGUUGUAAAAUCCUUUUACACUGGAGGAAUAAGCAGAGUAGGGAAUGACUCUGUGAUGACUGUACAGUUUGAAUAAGCAACGGCUAAUUACGUGCCAGCAGCCGCGGUAACACGUAAGUUGCGAGCGUUGUUCGGAAUUAUUGGGCGUAAAGGGCAUGUAGGCGGAUUUGCAAGCUUGAUGUGAAAUCCCGCAGCUUAACUGCGGAACUGCAUUGAGAACUGCAAGACUAGAGUUACUGAGGGGAAACUAGAAUUCCAAGUGUAGGGGUGAAAUCUGUAGAUAUUUGGAAGAAUACCAAUGGCGAAGGCAAGUUUCUGGCAGAUAACUGACGCUGAGGUGCGAAGGUGCGGGGAGCAAACAGGAUUAGAUACCCUGGUAGUCCGCACAGUAAACGAUGUACACUAGGUGUUUGACCAUGAGGUUGAGUGCCAUAGCUAACGCAAUAAGUUCCCCGCCGGGGGAGUACGGCCGCAAGGCUAAAACUCAAAGGAAUUGACGGGGGCCCGCACAAGCGGCGGAGCAUGCGGAUUAAUUCGAGGCAACGCGAAGAACCUUACCAAGGCUUGACAUACACCGGAAGCCCCCCGAAGUGGGGGUCUCUUUGAUACUGGUGUACAGGUGGUGCAUGGUUGUCGUCAGCUCGUGUCGUGAGAUGUUGGGUUAAGUCCCGCAACGAGCGCAACCCUUGUCCUAUGUUGCCAGCACGUUGUGGUGGGGACUCAUGGGAGACUGCCGGGGUUAACUCGGAGGAAGGUGGGGAGGACGUCAAAUCAUCAUGCCCCCCAUGUCUUGGGCUUCACGCAUGCUACAAUGGCCGGUACAGAGGGUUGCGAUACUGUGAGGUGGAGCGAAUCCCUUAAAGCCGGUCUCAGUUCGGAUCGAAGUCUGCAACUCGACUUCGUGAAGGUGGAGUCGCUAGUAAUCGCAGAUCAGCAUCGCUGCGGUGAAUAAAAUCUCGGGCCUUGUACACACCGCCCGUCAA
RNAcentral lists this ribosomal RNA (1403 nucleotides) under uncultured bacterium. RNAcentral describes it as "bacterial SSU rRNA". It matches the Rfam family "Bacterial small subunit ribosomal RNA". The record is from RNAcentral.